UGGAGAUUCAGAGGGCAUAUAGAUGAACGUUCCUAUAGAUGUCUGGUCUAAGCUAAAAACAACUUCUGUCCUACUAAAAACAACUACUGUCCUACUAAAAACAACUACUGUCCUACUAAAAACAACUACUGUCCUACUAAAAACAACUACUGUUCUACUAAAAACAACUACUGUUCUACUAAAAACAACUACUGUCCUACUAAAAACAACUACUGUCCUACUAAAAACAACUACUGUCCUACUAAAAACAACUACUGUCCUACUAAAAACAACUACUGUCCUACUAAAAACAACUACUGUCCUACUAAAAACAACUACUGUUCUACUAAAAACAACUUCUGUCCUACUAAAAACAACUUUUUAAUAACUUGCAGUAGUCGCUUGUUAAUAAAUGAGUUAUGAACAUUUUCCAAGUAUCUGUAAAGCAUGUCUGUGUUCCUCCAGGUAUUUAAUAAGUAUCUGUAAAGCAUGUCUGUGUUUCUCCAGGUAUUUAAUAAGUAUCUGUAAAGCAUGUCUGUGUUUCUCCAGGUAUUUAGUAAGUAUCUGUAAAGCAUGUCUGUGUUUCUCCAGGUAUUUAAUAAGUAUCUGUAAAGCAUGUCUGUGUUUCUCCAGGUGUUCAGGUAUUUAAUAAGUAUCUGUAAAGCAUGUCUGUGUUUCUCCAGGUAUUUAAUAAGUAUCUGUAAAGCAUGUCUGUGUUUCUCCAGGUAUUUAAUAAGUAUCUGUAAAGCAUGUCUGUGUUCCUCCAGGUAUUUAAUAAGUAUCUGUAAAGCAUGUCUGUGUUUCUCCAGGUAUUUAAUAAGUAUCUGUAAAACAUGUCUGUGUUUCUCCAGGUAUUUAAUAAGUAUCUGUAAAGCAUGUCUGUGUUUCUCCAGGUAUUUAAUAAGUAUCUGUAAAGCAUGUCUGUGUUUCUCCAGGUAUUUAAUAAGUAUCUGUAAAACAUGUCUGUGUUUCUCUAGGUAUUUAAUAAGUAUCUGUAAAGCAUGUCUGUGUUUCUCCAGGUAUUUAAUAAGUAUAUGUAAAACAUGUCUGUGUUUCUCCAGGUAUUUAAUAAGUAUCUGUAAAGCAUGUCUGUGUUUCUCCAGGUAUUUAAUAAGUAUCUGUAAAGCAUGUCUGUGUUUCUCCAGGUGUUCAGGUAUUUAAUAAGUAUCUGUAAAGCAUGUCUGUGUUUCUCCAGGUAUUUAAUAAGUAUCUGUAAAGCAUGUCUGUGUUCCUCCAGGUGUUCAGGUAUUUAAUAAGUAUCUGUAAAGCAUGUCUGUGUUCCUCCAGGUGUUGAGGCGGGCAGC
Oncorhynchus keta (chum salmon) is the source of this 1283-nucleotide long non-coding RNA. RefSeq lists it as uncharacterized. Lineage: Eukaryota; Metazoa; Chordata; Actinopteri; Salmoniformes; Salmonidae. The record is from RefSeq and is a predicted model, not a curated record. The transcript has 3 exons.